GCUCCCUUAGCUCAGCUGAAUAGAGCAACGGAUUUCUAAUCCGUAGGUCGCAGGUUUGAGUCCUGCAGGGAGUA
Molecule: transfer RNA, 74 nt
Filed under: Crassvirales sp.
Lineage: Duplodnaviria; Heunggongvirae; Uroviricota; Caudoviricetes; Crassvirales
Description: tRNA-Arg
Rfam family: tRNA
About the family: Transfer RNA (tRNA) molecules are approximately 80 nucleotides in length.
Source: RNAcentral